UGUGAGGAGGGUUUUGCUGAUCAAAAUACAGGCCACUGCAAGAUGCAGAGUCCUAUAUGAUUUCUUCAGCAGUAAACACAGACAGAACCUUGGUAGAAGUGGCAUGUGAAUUGGACACUUAACAGACUUACAGCAAAUCCAAGAAAUCCAUAAAGGACAAUGCUAUGUAUGCAGGCAGAGCAUAUUACUCCAAGUCCCUUCUCUCUUACAAGACAAACUGCAUGGGUCACCCAAGUAGCAAUGAAUUUACC
Chiroxiphia lanceolata (lance-tailed manakin) is the source of this 251-nucleotide long non-coding RNA. RefSeq lists it as uncharacterized. The transcript is spliced from 3 exons. NCBI's taxonomy places the organism in Eukaryota, Metazoa, Chordata, Aves, Passeriformes, Pipridae. The record is from RefSeq and is a predicted model, not a curated record.